RNAcentral lists this ribosomal RNA (429 nucleotides) under Bacteroidota bacterium. RNAcentral describes it as "Bacteroidetes bacterium partial 16S ribosomal RNA". It matches the Rfam family "Bacterial small subunit ribosomal RNA", at positions 355 to 776 of the family's 1533-position model. The record is from RNAcentral. Lineage: Bacteria; Pseudomonadati; Bacteroidota.
UAGGGAAUCUUCCGCAAUGGACGCAAGUCUGACGGAGCAACGCCGCGUGAGUGAAGAAGGAUUUCGGUUCGUAAAACUCUGUUGUUAGAGAAGAACAGCGCAUAGAGUAACUGUUAUGCGUGUGACGGUAUCUAACCAGAAAGCCACGGCUAACUACGUGCCAGCAGCCGCGGUAAUACGUAGGUGGCAAGCGUUGUCCGGAUUUAUUGGGCGUAAAGCGAGCGCAGGCGGUCAAUUAAGUCUGAUGUGAAAGCCCCCGGCUCAACCGGGGAGGGUCAUUGGAAACUGGUUGACUUGAGUGCAGAAGAGGAGAGUGGAAUUCCAUGUGUAGCGGUGAAAAGCGUAGAUAUAUGGAGGAACACCAGUGGCGAAGGCGACUCUCUGGUCUGUAACUGACGCUGAGGCUCGAAAGCGUGGGUAGCAAACAGG